This 514-nucleotide ribosomal RNA is filed under the name uncultured Pseudomonadota bacterium. RNAcentral's name for it is "bacterial SSU rRNA". It matches the Rfam family "Bacterial small subunit ribosomal RNA", at positions 390 to 896 of the family's 1533-position model. The record is from RNAcentral. Lineage: Bacteria; Pseudomonadati; Pseudomonadota.
CGCGACGCCGCGUGGGUGAAGAAGGCCUGCGGGUUGUAAAGCCCUUUCGGUGGGGAAGAAAAGCCUCGAGCUAACACCUCGGGGUCUUGACGUAACCCAUAGAAGAAGCACCGGCUAACUCUGUGCCAGCAGCCGCGGUAAUACAGAGGGUGCGAGCGUUAAUCGGAAUUACUGGGCGUAAAGCGCGCGUAGGCGGCUUUGCAAGUCGGGUGUGAAAUCCCCAGGCUUAACCUGGGAACUGCAUUCGAGACUGCAUUGCUAGAGUAUGGGAGAGGGAAGUGGAAUUUCCGGUGUAGCGGUGAAAUGCGUAGAUAUCGGAAGGAACAUCAGUGGCGAAAGCGACUUCCUGGACCAAUACUGACGCUCAUGUGCGAAAGCGUGGGGAGCAAACAGGAUUAGAUACCCUGGUAGUCCACGCCAUAAACGAUGACAACUGGAUGUCGGGAGGGUCUGCCUCUCGGUGUCGUAGCUAACGCGUUAAGUUGUCCGCCUGGGGAGUACGGCCGCAAGGUUG